UUCCUUCACACAGUUCCAAAUUUUCACAGACCCUAAAUCUGAGCUCUUCAUCUGCUUCUCUUUUCUUUGCAAUCUUAUACCCUAUCCUCCCACCGCUUCAUCGCAAUCCUCACAAACUCUGUUUCUUUUCGAUCGAAGUAUGGAAGACAAUGAUGGUGGUGUUUAGGGUUGGAGAAACGAUGGUGUGAGCAAUGGUCGGAGACGAAGGGUUUCAUCAAUCUUAAUCACAUGUAUGUUCUUCCUACUUAAUCUUUGAUUCUUUUUUGUUAUCUGAUUUGAAUCGUAUUAACCCUAUUGUUGUUGUUUGUUUUUUAUCCCAAAAACCCUAAAUACUCAAUGUCUACAUGCGGUUUGAUUUGUAUGUCGAUUUUUCCAUGGCGAUUCCUAAAUACUCAAUACCAACAUCACCAAGAUCGCAAACACUAGUUGCAAGGUCUCGAUGGAUCCCUCACUCUUCUAGCCAUGGAUGUUGUUGGUUCUAACGAAGCACCAGUGAAAGUUGAGCGGAAGAGGAUUGUAGUUUCAGUAUGUUGGAUUCUUGGAUUUCAAUCUUUGGUAUCAUGGAAUACUGUGUUGACUAUUGCAGACUACUACUAUGCCUAAUUUCUUGGAAACUAUGUAUCUAAUGAGAGGUAAAAGGGAAUUGAAGAUGUGGAAGCAAAAUCAUUUAAGGCUCGAAUGAUGGCUACCCCCUCCCUGUAAAAUAUGAAUCUUAGGUUGCUGGACCACUGGCAUGCUUAGAUUUAAUUUACGAACUGGUGAACCUUGAUGUCGUUAGGCCAUCCGCACAGAUCGAUUCAUGAAUCCUGCUUUAUCUUAACUGGAAGCUGCUUUCUCAGCAACCCGUAUAAAAACUAAGAUUACCAGUUAUAUCAAAUGCUGACCCCGGUAUGACGUUGCCUUAGCUUUGCGAGUUUAUCGGUUUUGUUAUUGGUUAAGAUGACACUGACAUCAAAGAACUCCCGCCAGAUCGUCUGUCUUACUGAGAUCCGCCGUUUCUUUGAGGAAUUUAUCCAUCUAUAUAUAUAUACACGCUAUUUAAUACCUCUGUAUUAAUGUACGUGUUUUUGGCAUUCUUAACUUGAUAACAAUAAGAAUGAGAACAAAUCAUUGAAAGCCGCAGUCAAAGCUAUCGAGUAUUGGAUGUGAAUCCAAAAUCUUGCAUCUAUUUCUGUGUUUGUUCUUUGCAUACAUAAAUCUUAUAUUUAAGCACAUGAAUGUUUGUGAUGACAGGGAUCUGUAUGCCUCCUACAUUAUUGAAAGCUUGAGGCAGUGAUUUGAUUCGGUAUGUUAGUGUAAAAACAUGUAAUAUGUCAAGAGACUUAAAAAACUUGUAAGGGUUAUAAUGGUUGCAUGCAGUUAUGUUUAACAGA
Molecule: long non-coding RNA, 1373 nt
Organism: Helianthus annuus (common sunflower)
Lineage: Eukaryota; Viridiplantae; Streptophyta; Magnoliopsida; Asterales; Asteraceae
Exons: 8
Source: RefSeq, a predicted model, not a curated record